RNAcentral lists this ribosomal RNA (466 nucleotides) under uncultured bacterium. RNAcentral's name for it is "partial 16S ribosomal RNA". It matches the Rfam family "Bacterial small subunit ribosomal RNA", at positions 28 to 507 of the family's 1533-position model. The record is from RNAcentral.
GACGAACGCUGGCGGCGUGCUUAACACAUGCAAGUCGAACGGAAAGGCCCUGCUUGCAGGGUACUCGAGUGGCGAACGGGUGAGUAACACGUGGGUGAUCUGCCCUGCACUUCGGGAUAAGCUUGGGAAACUGGGUCUAAUACCGGAUAGGAGCCAUCUUUAGUGUGGUGGUUGGAAAGUUUUUUCGGUGUAGGAUGAGCUCGCGGCCUAUCAGCUUGUUGGUGGGGUAAUGGCCUACCAAGGCGGCGACGGGUAGCCGGCCUGAGAGGGUGUACGGCCACAUUGGGACUGAGAGACGGCCCAGACUCCUGCGGGAGGCAGCAGUGGGGAAUAUUGCACAAUGGGCGCAAGCCUGAUGCAGCGAGGCCGCGUGGGGGAUGAAGGCCUUCGGGUUGUAAACUCCUGUCGCUAGGGACGAAGCUUUUUUGUGACGGUACCUAGAGAAGAAGCACCGGCUAACUACGUG